AACUUUGCGCAGAGGCAAUAUCGUAACUAAUGAGGUUAAUCCGAGGUGCGAUUAUUGCUAGUUGAAAACUUACUAACCAAGUUUAAUAUGACGUAUUUUUCACAUUAUUGAUACAUA
Molecule: small nuclear RNA, 117 nt
Organism: Melitaea cinxia (Glanville fritillary)
Lineage: Eukaryota; Metazoa; Arthropoda; Insecta; Lepidoptera; Nymphalidae
Product: U4 spliceosomal RNA
Exons: 1
Source: RefSeq, a predicted model, not a curated record